AUUGGACGCUGGCGGCAGGCCUAACACAUGCAAGUCGAGCGGGGACUUCGGUCCUAGCGGCGAACGGGCGAGUAAUGCUUGGGAAUCUGCCCAGUAGUGGGGGAUACCGUCCCGAAAGGGACGCUAAUACCGCAUACGUCCUACGGGAGAAAGAGGGGGAUCUUCGGACCUCUCGCUAUUGGAUGAGCCCAAGUCGGAUUAGCUAGUUGGUAGGGUAAUGGCCUACCAAGGCGACGAUCCGUAGCUGGUCUGAGAGGAUGAUCAGCCACACUGGAACUGAGACACGGUCCAGACUCCUACGGGAGGCAGCAGUGGGGAAUAUUGGACAAUGGGCGAAAGCCUGAUCCAGCCAUGCCGCGUGUGUGAAGAAGGCCUUCGGGUUGUAAAGCACUUUAAGCGGGGAGGAAGGUUCGCGGCCUAAUACGUCGCGGAAUUGACGUUACCCGAAGAAUAAGCACCGGCUAACUCUGUG
This 472-nucleotide ribosomal RNA is filed under the name uncultured bacterium. RNAcentral's name for it is "partial 16S ribosomal RNA". It matches the Rfam family "Bacterial small subunit ribosomal RNA", at positions 30 to 507 of the family's 1533-position model. The record is from RNAcentral.